Molecule: long non-coding RNA, 1817 nt
Filed under: Panax ginseng (ginseng)
Lineage: Eukaryota; Viridiplantae; Streptophyta; Magnoliopsida; Apiales; Araliaceae
Description: long non-coding RNA (PGIN_LNC003229)
Source: RNAcentral
UUAAAUGACAUACAUAUUUAAAGGUAUCGUAUUUUUCUCUUCAAAACAAAACAAAACCUCUGAACAUCUCAUAUUUCGGACCAAAACAAAACCACCAAGAAUCAAGCAUUCUAGCUCGAGCAUUCUAGCUCGAAUAUCUUCGAAUCCCCCUAUUUCAGACCAAAAAAAUUUGAAUCCCCCUAUUUCAGACCAAAAGAAAUCCAAGAAUCAAGCAACCUAACUCGAAAAAUUCGAAUCCCCCCUCACGGAGACCAAAAAUCAGUAUCUACCUCCUUGAUAUCGAUUUCGAUUCGGUAAACCCUUUUACUAUUUUUCGCCAUUACAACUCUAUUUUAUGAAGAUUUGCUGCAAUUUAUCCAUCUACUUUUUCUAGGUUUUGGCCUUGGAUGAUUUCUGGGUCAUAUUUGGGUUUUUUUCAGUGGGGUUUUUCACCAUGUUUGUUUCUCCAUUCUUCUGCAACACUAAGACCAUGUUACAAUUUGUUUUUGUUUCGUUAUUUUUUGUUGAAUUAGUGUCUUCAAUAUUUGAUUUUUCAAGUGGGUUUUACAUAUCUAAGUAGAAUAGUAGCGGUUCACGGACAAAUUUAUGUAUUUUUGAAGACGAAAUACAAGUGUUGUGAUUAUCCUAUGGCUAUUUUAAUAUCUUAGUUUUUGUUUGAAAUUUUAAAUUUUACUGUUUUUUGCUGCAAGGAUUAUGCCUGAUUGCAUGAGGGGAUUUUUUUUUCAAGUUGUCUUGUAUAUUUGUUGGUACAUCUAGGAUUCAAGUCCUAGAGAGCUCUGUCUAGUAUUGAGUUUACAUAUAUGUUAAAGAUUUGAUCUAAAUAGUCAUUUUUGUAAUAGGUGCUUUCUUUGAUCUAACAGGUUUAUAUGACACAUCAUAGUAAUGUAGCACAUUUGUUUGAAUGGUUGAAUUCAAUAUUAUCCAUCUCGCACUCAUAUGCCUUUCAUUGUACAACAUUGUAACAUUGCCUCGGAUAUUAUUUAGUUUUGCCUUCAAUGGAAACUUAGCUUGGCCUCAGUAGGCUUGAAGCAAGUUUGGCUCAAAGUAUUGUGAUGACUUUCUUGUUGAUGGAAGUUAACCUUAUUUGGGAGUUUGUUUGCCAAAUAUUACAUGCAUUUACAAGCCAUUGGUUUUUAGCUCUUAUGUAAACCCCUCACUAAUUUUUUUCCCCGAGUCAUGAACACAAAUUCAUCAAUGUGGAGUUCCUUCACCUAUGGAGGUUUCAUGGAUCAAAACAAAUCCUGGGAGACAAUUUGUUGGUUGCACAAAUUAUAAAACAAUACCAUAUAACUCAUUUGAAUGGAUUGAUCUAGCAAUGUCACCGCGCUCAAGAAUUGUUCAGUAUUAUAGUGAAAAUAAUGAAUUGAAGUUUGAAAUAGAAAUUCUAAAAAAAAAAAAGUUGACGAGUUGACCAUUGUUAUUGUCAAUGCCAAAAAUGACAAAGCUAUUAUAGAAAAGAAAAAUCAAGAGUUGGUGAUAAAAAUUGAGGAGAUUAAAUUGAACAAUGAAAAAUUGAAGAAAAUAGUGGUGUACUUGGUGUUUGUUUUUCUUUUCAUGUUGUGGUUUUUAUUGUUUGUAAUGAAGUUAUAGUUGCUUUGUAAUGAAAUUGUUCAAUGUAAUGGAGGUGGUUUUCCUUUAUUUAACAUCUUAUUCUACCAUCAAUUGUCUGUGACUGAAUGUCUCAAAAGUUCAACUAUGUAUGAAUAUACCUCCCAAUUAUACAAGCUGAAACGUUAACGAUUAUUUAUUAAUUAACGAUUGUUUAAAAUAUCAAAAAAGAGACAUGGCCAUCUCAAAUUUGAGCUAGUAAAUAAUUG